Molecule: ribosomal RNA, 253 nt
Filed under: uncultured bacterium
Lineage: Bacteria
Description: partial 16S ribosomal RNA
Rfam family: Bacterial small subunit ribosomal RNA
Source: RNAcentral
UACGAAGGGGGCUAGCGUUGUUCGGAAUUACUGGGCGUAAAGCGCACGUAGGCGGAUAUUUAAGUCAGGGGUGAAAUCCCAGAGCUCAACUCUGGAACUGCCUUUGAUACUGGGUAUCUUGAGUAUAAAAGAGGUAAAUGGAAUUCCGAGUGUAGAAGUGAAAUUCGUAGAUAUUCAGAGGAACACCAAUAGCGAAGGCAGCUUACUGGUCCAUUACUGACGCUGAGGUGCGAAAGCGUGGGGAGCAAACAGG